AACAAUUUUAGUUGUCCAGUGUUUGAUUUGUAAAACUGUUUCAAGUACAGGACAAACUGGAGGCAAGGGACAGGACAA
This is a microRNA precursor of Medicago truncatula (barrel medic), 78 nucleotides long. It matches the Rfam family "MIR5286 microRNA precursor family". The record is from Rfam. Lineage: Eukaryota; Viridiplantae; Streptophyta; Magnoliopsida; Fabales; Fabaceae.